GACAGAGGGUGCGAGCGUUGUUCGGAAUUACUGGGCGUAAAGCGCGCGCAGGCGGCCCAGCAAGUCGGGAGUGAAAUUCCGGGGCUCAACCCCGGAGCUGCUACCGAAACUGCUGGGCUAGGGACCGGUAGAGGCUGGUAGAAUUCCUGGUGUAGCGGUGGAAUGCGUAGAGAUCAGGAAGAAUACCCGUGGCGAAGGCGGCCAGCUGGGCCGGGUCCGACGCUGAGGCGCGAAAGCGUGGGGAGCAAACAGG
This 253-nucleotide ribosomal RNA is filed under the name uncultured prokaryote. RNAcentral's name for it is "partial 16S ribosomal RNA". It matches the Rfam family "Bacterial small subunit ribosomal RNA", at positions 524 to 776 of the family's 1533-position model. The record is from RNAcentral.